UGAACGCUAGCUACAGGCUUAACACAUGCAAGUCGAGGGGCAGCAUGGUCUUAGCUUGCUAAGACUGAUGGCGACCGGCGCACGGGUGAGUAACACGUAUCCAACCUGCCGUCUACUCUUGGACAGCCUUCUGAAAGGAAGAUUAAUACAAGAUGGCAUCAUGAGUCCGCAUGUUCACAUGAUUAAAGGUAUUCCGGUAGACGAUGGGGAUGCGUUCCAUUAGAUAGUAGGCGGGGUAACGGCCCACCUAGUCUUCGAUGGAUAGGGGUUCUGAGAGGAAGGUCCCCCACAUUGGAACUGAGACACGGUCCAAACUCCUACGGGAGGCAGCAGUGAGGAAUAUUGGUCAAUGGGCGAGAGCCUGAACCAGCCAAGUAGCGUGAAGGAUGACUGCCCUAUGGGUUGUAAACUUCUUUUAUAAAGGAAUAAAGUCGGGUAUGCAUACCCGUUUGCAUGUACUUUAUGAAUAAGGAUCGGCUAACUCCGUGCCAGCAGCCGCGGUAAUACGGAGGAUCCGAGCGUUAUCCGGAUUUAUUGGGUUUAAAGGGAGCGUAGAUGGAUGUUUAAGUCAGUUGUGAAAGUUUGCGGCUCAACCGUAAAAUUGCAGUUGAUACUGGAUAUCUUGAGUGCAGUUGAGGCAGGCGGAAUUCGUGGUGUAGCGGUGAAAUGCUUAGAUAUCACGAAGAACUCCGAUUGCGAAGGCAGCCUGCUAAGCUGCAACUGACAUUGAGGCUCGAAAGUGUGGGUAUCAAACAGGAUUAGAUACCCUGGUAGUCCACACGGUAAACGAUGAAUACUCGCUGUUUGCGAUAUACGGCAAGCGGCCAAGCGAAAGCGUUAAGUAUUCCACCUGGGGAGUACGCCGGCAACGGUGAAACUCAAAGGAAUUGACGGGGGCCCGCACAAGCGGAGGAACAUGUGGUUUAAUUCGAUGAUACGCGAGGAACCUUACCCGGGCUUAAAUUGCAGAUGAAUUACGGUGGAAGCCGUAAGCCGCAAGGCAUCUGUGAAGGUGCUGCAUGGUUGUCGUCAGCUCGUGCCGUGAGGUGUCGGCUUAAGUGCCAUAACGAGCGCAACCCUUGUUGUCAGUUACUAACAGGUUCCGCUGAGGACUCUGACAAGACUGCCAUCGUAAGAUGUGAGGAAGGUGGGGAUGACGUCAAAUCAGCACGGCCCUUACGUCCGGGGCUACACACGUGUUACAAUGGGGGGUACAGAGGGCCGCUACCACGCGAGUGGAUGCCAAUCCCAAAAACCUCUCUCAGUUCGGACUGGAGUCUGCAACCCGACUCCACGAAGCUGGAUUCGCUAGUAAUCGCGCAUCAGCCACGGCGCGGUGAAUACGUUCCCGGGCCUUGUACACACCGCCCGUCAAGCCAUGGGAGCCGGGGGUACCUGAAGUGCGUAACCGCGAGGAGCGCCCUAGGGUAAAACUGGUGACUGGGGCUAAGUC
RNAcentral lists this ribosomal RNA (1453 nucleotides) under uncultured organism. RNAcentral describes it as "SSU rRNA". It matches the Rfam family "Bacterial small subunit ribosomal RNA". The record is from RNAcentral.